GACGAACCACACGACCGUUAUUCGGAAUUACUGGGCUUAAAGGGUGCGUAGGCGGCGUGGUAAGUUGGGUGUGAAAUCCCUCGGCUCAACCGAGGAACUGCGCCCAAAACUACCAUGCUUGAGGAAGAUAGAGGUAAGCGGAACUUACGGUGGAGCGGUGAAAUGCGUUGAUAUCGUAAGGAACACCUGUGGCGAAAGCGGCUUACUGGGUCUUUUCUGACGCUGAUGCACGAAAGCCAGGGGAGCAAACGGG
This 253-nucleotide ribosomal RNA is filed under the name uncultured bacterium. Its description in RNAcentral is "partial 16S ribosomal RNA". It matches the Rfam family "Bacterial small subunit ribosomal RNA", at positions 524 to 776 of the family's 1533-position model. The record is from RNAcentral.